CUCACACGUGCGCACAGUAGCCGGCGCAACUGCAUGGCUCCCCGCCACUGCGGGUUUGCGCAUAGACAAGCGUGGACGCAGCAGCCUAACAGGUCUACAGACUGGACCUUUGAGGCGACUCCUGCUCACUAUAGUUUUGUUUGUUGUGCUCAGGAACGUGCACACAUAGGAGUGAAAGGGGGCUGGAGCCCCUGCCCUUUUCCUCACCUGCCCCUCUAGUGCCCUCACAAAAGGAGCUGCAGACUCAGGGUGACAGGUGAAGUAAAAAGGAUCCGUUGCUGGGGAGUUGUAUGUGGUUUAAUGGAGGGUGCUGUGCAAGGGGGCGCCACUCACCCUGUCAUUAUCUGCCAUUUCUUUGCUUCUCUCCACACAGAGGAGACAGGAGCAGAGGAGGCAGAGAGAAGCCCCGCCCACAGCAUGUCCGGACACAACUUCAGUCUAUGCAGCCCUUACUCAUGUAAGCAUAUAUUAGUGUGGUGUCCAUCUCUUCAGUGUAAGAACCAGAGCAGUGUGAAGAUUCCUGCAUAAGGUCACUGUCUCCUUCCAUGCCCCUGAGGAAGACAUUUUAUCUAUGUCAGAAACGCGUCGGCCAGAAUUUGGAGACGUGUAUUAAGAUAGUGACUCUAUCUUCGUUAUUAUGAGCUAUGAGAAACAUAUUACUUUAACAGUUGUCUAUUU
Molecule: long non-coding RNA, 678 nt
Organism: Hyla sarda
Lineage: Eukaryota; Metazoa; Chordata; Amphibia; Anura; Hylidae
Exons: 4
Source: RefSeq, a predicted model, not a curated record